GACCAAUUUAGGUCUUUCAGCCUUUUAGUAGAUAGCUCCCUGAUACCGUGGGAAUUAGGGAGUUAUCUACUAAGCGGCUGCAAGAUGCAGCCACAGCAAUGAAUAGGAUCGGAGUUUCAUUCAUUAGAAUGAAACUCCGAUCCGAAUAAAGUGCCGAAUUGCGUUCUAAAAGAAACGAACAUACUGUUCUCAUUCAGUUAGAAC
Pelobates cultripes (western spadefoot toad) is the source of this 204-nucleotide non-coding RNA. Lineage: Eukaryota; Metazoa; Chordata; Amphibia; Anura; Pelobatidae. The record is from the annotation of a GenBank genome assembly.